UUAAGUUCAGCGGGUAUCCCUACCUGAUCCGAGGUCAAUCAUUGAAAUAAAUGGGGUUGUCUGGCAAGCCACGGGGCGAACUUUCAAAGCGGGAUGACAAUUUACUACGCUUAAAGUCACACCGAGCCGCCACUGCUUUUCGGGCACGCCCCGGGGGGCGAGGACCCAAUACCAAGCUACGCUUGAGGGGUGUAAUGACG
Molecule: unclassified non-coding RNA, 200 nt
Filed under: Hypogymnia sp.
Lineage: Eukaryota; Fungi; Ascomycota; Lecanoromycetes; Lecanorales; Parmeliaceae
Description: partial internal transcribed spacer 2
Source: RNAcentral